UGUCACUGAGCCGUCGGAAGCAAAUUAUGAAUAAUGUUGGUGGAAAUGGUGAAAAGACUAAAAAAAUGAAGAAAUGGAAUGGAUAGACAGGGACGCCACACUUUCUAAUCCAAGAAAGUGAUAAGUCUAUGGAUGCGAGGAUCGCCACAAGAAAUAUGAUUUCUUGAUAAGAUCAAGGUUGGUUCAAUCCAGAACCACAAGAGACAAAGCUCUCAAUACACAUAUGUGUAAAAUUCUAUAAAAUUCAACUUCCUUUAUUUCAUA
Molecule: long non-coding RNA, 264 nt
Filed under: Medicago truncatula (barrel medic)
Lineage: Eukaryota; Viridiplantae; Streptophyta; Magnoliopsida; Fabales; Fabaceae
Description: long non-coding RNA (MTRU_LNC002605)
Source: RNAcentral